AGGCAGGAGAAUUUCUGGAUAAUAACCUGAAGAGUGUUUUCCAGCUUGGAUUCAUUCUCCAUGUCACAUUUAGGUACGCCGAUCAAGCGGAGAUUAGGUCUUU
Sapajus apella (tufted capuchin) is the source of this 103-nucleotide long non-coding RNA. RefSeq lists it as uncharacterized. The transcript is spliced from 3 exons. The record is from RefSeq and is a predicted model, not a curated record. NCBI's taxonomy places the organism in Eukaryota, Metazoa, Chordata, Mammalia, Primates, Cebidae.